GUCCAGCUGAUGAGCCCCAAAUAGGACGAAACGCGCGUCCUGUAU
Molecule: non-coding RNA, 45 nt
Filed under: Schistosoma margrebowiei
Lineage: Eukaryota; Metazoa; Platyhelminthes; Trematoda; Strigeidida; Schistosomatidae
Source: RNAcentral